Pteronotus mesoamericanus is the source of this 103-nucleotide small nuclear RNA. The record is from RefSeq and is a predicted model, not a curated record. Lineage: Eukaryota; Metazoa; Chordata; Mammalia; Chiroptera; Mormoopidae.
CAGUGUUCACUUCAGCAGCACUGAAAUUGGAACAAUACAAAAAAGAUUAGAAUGACCCCUGUGCAAGGAUGACAUGCAAAUUUGUGAAGCUUUCCAUAUUUUA